GACGAACGCUGGCGGCAUGCCUAAUACAUGCAAGUCGAGCGAACAGGUGAAGUGCUUGCACUUCUGACGUUAGCGGCGAACGGGUGAGUAACACGUAAGGAAUCUACCUAUAAGCGGGGGAUAACAUUCGGAAACGGGUGCUAAUACCGCAUAAUAUCUUCUUCCGCAUGGAAGAAGAUUGAAAGACGGCUCUGCUGUCACUUAUAGAUGACCUUGCGGUGCAUUAGUUAGUUGGUGGGGUAAUGGCCUACCAAGACGAUGAUGCAUAGCCGACCUGAGAGGGUGAUCGGUCACAUUGGGACUGAGACACGGCCCAAACUCCUACGGGAGGCAGCAGUAGGGAAUCUUCCGCAAUGGGCGAAAGCCUGACGGAGCAAUGCCGCGUGAGUGAAGAAGGCCUUCGGGUCGUAAAACUCUGUUAUAAGAGAAGAACAAAUUGUAGAGUAACUGCUACAGUCUUGACGGUAUCUUAUCAGAAAGCCACGGCUAACUACGUGCCAGCAGCCGCCGUAA
This 513-nucleotide ribosomal RNA is filed under the name uncultured bacterium. Its description in RNAcentral is "partial 16S ribosomal RNA". It matches the Rfam family "Bacterial small subunit ribosomal RNA", at positions 28 to 523 of the family's 1533-position model. The record is from RNAcentral.